RNAcentral lists this ribosomal RNA (376 nucleotides) under Burkholderia sp. FER41. RNAcentral describes it as "bacterial SSU rRNA". It matches the Rfam family "Bacterial small subunit ribosomal RNA", at positions 970 to 1352 of the family's 1533-position model. The record is from RNAcentral. Lineage: Bacteria; Pseudomonadati; Pseudomonadota; Betaproteobacteria; Burkholderiales; Burkholderiaceae.
CUUACCUACCCUUGACAUGUAUGGAACCUGGCUGAGAGGUCGGGGUGCCCGAAAGGGAGCCAUAACACAGGUGCUGCAUGGCUGUCGUCAGCUCGUGUCGUGAGAUGUUGGGUUAAGUCCCGCAACGAGCGCAACCCUUGUCCCUAGUUGCUACGCAAGAGCACUCUAGGGAGACUGCCGGUGACAAACCGGAGGAAGGUGGGGAUGACGUCAAGUCCUCAUGGCCCUUAUGGGUAGGGCUUCACACGUCAUACAAUGGUCGGAACUGAGGGUCGCCAACCCGCGAGGGGGAGCCAAUCCCAGAAACCCCCUCUAUCCGGAUCGCACUCUGCAACUCGAGUGCGUGAAGCUGGAAUCGCUAGUAAUCGCGGAUCAG